CAAGACCAAGCCUCCCCGCUGCUGAGAGAAAUGCAAUCAUUGAUGUCAUAGCCAAAACCUUUGACAAGCCUCUGGUUGAUGUUGAAGAAAAGAUGAGAGGUUGUUUAAGGCAUCUGCGGCUGAUGCACAAGUAGACUGAAGUCUUUGUAAAUAAAAUGUGCUGUUAAAAUGAUUAUUUAACCAUUGUUUUCACUUUGUUAUGUAGAUUUGCACCUGUUUCAACAACAUUAACUUAUU
Dreissena polymorpha is the source of this 237-nucleotide long non-coding RNA. RefSeq lists it as uncharacterized. NCBI's taxonomy places the organism in Eukaryota, Metazoa, Mollusca, Bivalvia, Myida, Dreissenidae. The transcript has 2 exons. The record is from RefSeq and is a predicted model, not a curated record.